Molecule: ribosomal RNA, 393 nt
Filed under: uncultured bacterium
Lineage: Bacteria
Description: partial 16S ribosomal RNA
Rfam family: Bacterial small subunit ribosomal RNA
Source: RNAcentral
AUACGGAGGAUCCGAGCGUUAUCCGGAUUUAUUGGGUUUAAAGGGUGCGCAGGCGGGAGAUUAAGUCGGCGGUGAAAUUUUUCAGCUCAACUGUAAAAGGGCCUUUGAAAAUGGGUUCCUUGGGUGUAGAUGAAGGAGGCGGAAUUUGUGGGGUAGCGGUGAAAUGCAUAGAUAUCACGAGGAACUCCGAUUGCGCAGGCAGCUUACUAAACUACUACUGACGCUCAGGCACGAAGGCGUGGGGAUCAAACAGGAUUAGAUACCCUGGUAGUCCACGCAGUAAACGAUGAUUACUAGCUGUUUGCGAUACAAUGUAAGCGGCUGAGCGAAAGCGUUAAGUAAUCCACCUGGGGAGUACGUUCGCAAGAAUGAAACUCAAAGGAAUUGGCGGGG